UACGUAGGGACCGAGCGUUGUCCGGAAUCAUUGGGCGUAAAGAGCGUGUAGGCGGUUCGGUAAGUCUGUCGUGAAAUCCUGAGGCUCAACCUCGGGCGUGCGAUGGAUACUGCCGGGCUAGAGGGUGGUAGAGGCGAGUGGAAUUCCCGGUGUAGCGGUGAAAUGCGCAGAUAUCGGGAGGAACACCAGUAGCGAAGGCGGCUCGCUGGGCCACACCUGACGCUGAGACGCGAAAGCUAGGGGAGCGAACAGG
Molecule: ribosomal RNA, 253 nt
Filed under: uncultured bacterium
Lineage: Bacteria
Description: partial 16S ribosomal RNA
Rfam family: Bacterial small subunit ribosomal RNA
Source: RNAcentral